AACGAACGCUGGCGGCAUGCCUAACACAUGCAAGUCGAACGGAUGGUCGCAAGACCAUUAGUGGCGGACGGGUGCGUAACGCGUGGGAACCUGCCUUGAAGUUCGGAAUAACUGCGGGAAACUGCAGCUAAUACCGGAUGUGGCCUGCGGGCCAAAGGGGAAACUCGCUUCAAGAGGGGCCCGCGUCCGAUUAGCUAGUUGGCGGGGUAACGGCCCACCAAGGCGAUGAUCGGUAGCCGGUCNGAGAGGACGACCAGCCACACUGGAACUGAGAUACGGUCCAGACUCCUACGGGAGGCAGCAGUGGGGAAUAUUGGACAAUGGGCGCAAGCCUGAUCCAGCCAUACCGCGUGGGUGAAGAAGGCCUU
Molecule: ribosomal RNA, 368 nt
Filed under: uncultured bacterium
Lineage: Bacteria
Description: bacterial SSU rRNA
Rfam family: Bacterial small subunit ribosomal RNA
Source: RNAcentral